Molecule: ribosomal RNA, 394 nt
Filed under: uncultured bacterium
Lineage: Bacteria
Description: bacterial SSU rRNA
Rfam family: Bacterial small subunit ribosomal RNA
Source: RNAcentral
GAUGAACGCUAGCUACAGGCUUAACACAUGCAAGUCGAGGGGCAGCGCAGUGUAGCAAUACAUGGGCGGCGACCGGCGCACGGGUGCGUAACGCGUAUCCAACCUUCCCGUUACUCAGGGAUAGCCUUCCGAAAGGGAGAUUAAUACCUGAUGGUGUUCAAAUUCCGCAUGUUAUUUGAACUAAAGAUUUAUCGGUAACGGAUGGGGAUGCGUGACAUUAGGUAGAUGGCGGGGUAACGGCCCACCAUGCCCACGAUGUCUAGGGGUUCUGAGAGGAAGGUCCCCCCANACUGGAACUGAGACACGGUCCAGACUCCUACGGGAGGCAGCAGUGAGGAAUAUUGGUCAAUGGUCGGAAGACUGAACCAGCCAAGUAGCGUGAAGGAAGAAGGCC